UGAGGAAUAUUGCGCAAUGGGGGCAACCCUGACGCAGCGACGCCGCGUGGAUGAUGAAGGCCCUUGGGUCGUAAAAUCCUGUCAGAUGGAAAGAAAUGUAUAGCAGCUAAUAUCUGUUAUAUUUGACGGUACCAUCAAAGGAAGCACCGGCUAACUCCGUGCCAGCAGCCGCGGUAAUACGGAGGGUGCAAGCGUUGUUCGGAAUUACUGGGCGUAAAGCGCGCGUAGGCGGUUUGCUAAGUCAGAUGUGAAAGCCCUCGGCUUAACCGGGGACGUGCAUUUGAAACUGGCAGACUUGAGUACUGGAGGGGGUGGUGGAAUUCCCGGUGUAGAGGUGAAAUUCGUAGAUAUCGGGAGGAAUACCGGUGGCGAAGGCGACCACCUGGCCAGAUACUGACGCUGAGGUGCGAAAGCGUGGGGAGCAAACAGG
RNAcentral lists this ribosomal RNA (430 nucleotides) under uncultured Desulfobulbaceae bacterium. Its description in RNAcentral is "bacterial SSU rRNA". It matches the Rfam family "Bacterial small subunit ribosomal RNA", at positions 355 to 776 of the family's 1533-position model. The record is from RNAcentral. Lineage: Bacteria; Pseudomonadati; Thermodesulfobacteriota; Desulfobulbia; Desulfobulbales; Desulfobulbaceae.